Molecule: ribosomal RNA, 497 nt
Filed under: uncultured bacterium
Lineage: Bacteria
Description: partial 16S ribosomal RNA
Rfam family: Bacterial small subunit ribosomal RNA
Source: RNAcentral
GGGGGGGGGGGGGGGGGGGGGGGGGGGGGGGGGGGGGGGGGCUGGGGGGGGGUACGGGUGCCAACGGGAGGAGCAGCGAACGGGUGAGUAACGCGUGGGGGGGCUGCCUUGGAGCGGGGGACAACAUUUGGGGACGAAUGCUAAUACCGCAUAAAAACUUGACACACAAGUUGUACGUUGGAAAGAUGCAAUUGCAUCACUCAAAGAUGAUCCCGCGUUGUAUUAGCUAGUUGGUGAGGUAAAGGCUCACCAAGGCGAUGAUACAUAGCCGACCUGAGAGGGUGAUCGGCCACAUUGGGACUGAGACACGGCCCCAACUCCUACGGGAGGCAGCAGUAGGGAAUCUUCGGCAAUGGACGAAAGUCUGACCGAGCGACGCCGCGUGAGUGAAGAAGGUUUUCGGAUCGUAAAACUCUGUUGGUAGAGAAGAACGGUGGUGAGAGUGGAAAGCUCAUCAAGUGACGGUAACUACCCAGAAAGGGACGGCUAACUACGUG